This 253-nucleotide ribosomal RNA is filed under the name uncultured bacterium. RNAcentral's name for it is "partial 16S ribosomal RNA". It matches the Rfam family "Bacterial small subunit ribosomal RNA", at positions 524 to 776 of the family's 1533-position model. The record is from RNAcentral.
UACGUAGGGUGCAAGCGUUGUCCGGAAUUAUUGGGCGUAAAGAGCGUGUAGGCGGCUCGAUUAGUCCGCUGUGAAAGUCCAGGGCUCAACCCUGGAAAGCCGGUGGAAACUGUCGAACUAGAGUCCGGAAGAGGCGAGUGGAAUUCCUGGUGUAGCGGUGAAAUGCGCAGAUAUCAGGAGGAACACCAAUGGCGAAGGCAGCUCGCUGGGAUGGUACUGACGCUGAGACGCGAAAGCGUGGGGAGCAAACAGG